UCGGACGGGUGAGUAACGCGUGAGAAUCUAGCUUCAGGUUGGGGACAACAGUUGGAAACGACUGCUAAUACCGAAUGUGCCGAGAGGUGAAAGAUUUAUUGCCUGAAGAAGAGCUCGCGUCUGAUUAGCUAGUUGGUGGGGUAAGAGCUUACCAAGGCGACGAUCGGUAGCUGGUCUGAGAGGACGAUCAGCCACACUGGGACUGAGACACGGCCCAGACUCCUACGGGAGGCAGCAGUGGGGAAUUUUCCGCAAUGGGCGAAAGCCUGACGGAGCAAUGCCGCGUGAGGGAAGAAGGCUCUUGGGUUGUAAACCUCUUUUCUUAGGGAAGAAAAAAAUGACGGUACCUAAGGAAUCAGCAUCGGCUAACUCCGUGCCAGCAGCCGCGGUAAUACGGAGGAUGCAAGCGUUAUCCGGAAUGAUUGGGCGUAAGGCGUCCGCAGGUGGUCUAUCAAGUUUGCGGUUAAAGGUUCUGGCUCAACCAGAGACAGGCCGUGAAAACUGAUAAGCUAGAGUAUGGUAGGGGCAGAGGGAAUUCCCAGUGUAGCGGUGAAAUGCGUAGAGAUUGGGAAGAACACCGGUGGCGAAAGCGCUCUGCUGGGCCAAAACUGACACUGAGGGACGAAAGCUAGGGGAGCGAAUGGGAUUAGAUACCCCAGUAGUC
Molecule: ribosomal RNA, 664 nt
Filed under: uncultured cyanobacterium
Lineage: Bacteria; Bacillati; Cyanobacteriota
Description: bacterial SSU rRNA
Rfam family: Bacterial small subunit ribosomal RNA
Source: RNAcentral